UUGCUCGCUUUGACAGCACAUAUACUAAAACUGGAAUGGUACAGAGAUUGGCAUGGCCCCUGCGCAAGGAUGACAUGCAAACUCGUGAAGUGUUCCAUAUUUAU
Molecule: small nuclear RNA, 104 nt
Organism: Fukomys damarensis (Damara mole-rat)
Lineage: Eukaryota; Metazoa; Chordata; Mammalia; Rodentia; Bathyergidae
Source: Ensembl